Molecule: long non-coding RNA, 292 nt
Filed under: Vitis vinifera (wine grape)
Lineage: Eukaryota; Viridiplantae; Streptophyta; Magnoliopsida; Vitales; Vitaceae
Description: long non-coding RNA (VVIN_LNC007372)
Source: RNAcentral
CCUUUUUGUUCUGAAAACCAUGAAAAACAUGCAGGGAAAUUCAUUACUUUCAGGUUCACGGGCGAUUCAUGCACAGCCCUUGAAGACUUCGAACAAAAUCCAUACAACAGCAGUCUGAGCGCCAUCAUUCCAUGCCAUGAAUUGCUUUCUGCAAAACCAGUCUUCUCAGAUGUUAGUUCAGGGAUCUACAACCUUGUAGACGAGGUAAAUGCAUGUAUUGGGAACUCAUUUGUAUGUGAAACACUUACUGAUUCAGUCUUUCUUUCUGGCUUGGGAAAAUUACAGGUGAAUA